GAUGAACGCUGGCGGCGUGCUUAACACAUGCAAGUCGAACGGAAAGGCCCUGCUUUUGUGGGGUGCUCGAGUGGCGAACGGGUGAGUAACACGUGAGUAACCUGCCCUUGACUUUGGGAUAACUUCAGGAAACUGGGGCUAAUACCGGAUAGGAGCUCCUGCUGCAUGGUGGGGGUUGGAAAGUUUCGGCGGUUGGGGAUGGACUCGCGGCUUAUCAGCUUGUUGGUGGGGUAGUGGCUUACCAAGGCUUUGACGGGUAGCCGGCCUGAGAGGGUGACCGGCCCCAUUGGGACUGAGAUACGGCCCAGACUCCUACGGGAGGCAGCAGUGGGGAAUAUUGCACAAUGGGCGGAAGCCUGAUGCAGCAACGCCGCGUGCGGGAUGACGGCCUUCGGGUUGUAAACCGCUUUCGCCUGUGACGAAGCGUGAGUGACGGUAAUGGGUAAAGAAGCACCGGCUAACUACGUG
Molecule: ribosomal RNA, 468 nt
Filed under: uncultured bacterium
Lineage: Bacteria
Description: partial 16S ribosomal RNA
Rfam family: Bacterial small subunit ribosomal RNA
Source: RNAcentral